This 1413-nucleotide ribosomal RNA is filed under the name uncultured bacterium. Its description in RNAcentral is "bacterial SSU rRNA". It matches the Rfam family "Bacterial small subunit ribosomal RNA". The record is from RNAcentral.
AGAGUUUGAUCCUGGCUCAGGAUGAACGCUGGCGGCGUGCCUAAUACAUGCAAGUCGAACGCACAGCGAAAGGUGCUUGCACCUUUCAAGUGAGUGGCGAACGGGUGAGUAACACGUGGAUAACCUACCUCAAGGUUGGGGAUAACAUUUGGAAACAGAUGCUAAUACCGAAUAAAACUUCGUAUCGCAUGAUACAAGGUUAAAAGGCGCUACGGCGUCACCUAGAGAUGGAUCCGCGGUGCAUUAGUUAGUUGGUGGGGUAAAGGCCUACCAAGACAAUGAUGCAUAGCCGAGUUGAGAGACUGAUCGGCCACAUUGGGACUGAGACACGGCCCAAACUCCUACGGGAGGCUGCAGUAGGGAAUCUUCCACAAUGGGCGAAAGCCUGAUGGAGCAACGCCGCGUGUGUGAUGAAGGCUUUCGGGUCGUAAAGCACUGUUGUAUGGGAAGAACAGCUAGAGUAGGGAAUGACUUUAGUUUGACGGUACCAUACCAGAAAGGGACGGCUAAAUACGUGCCAGCAGCCGCGGUAAUACGUAUGUCCCGAGCGUUAUCCGGAUUUAUUGGGCGUAAAGCGAGCGCAGACGGUUGAUUAAGUCUGAUGUGAAAGCCCGGAGCUCAACUCCGGAAAGGCAUUGGAAACUGGUCAACUUGAGUGCAGUAGAGGUAAGUGGAACUCCAUGUGUAGCGGUGGAAUGCGUAGAUAUAUGGAAGAACACCAGCGGCGAAGGCGGCUUACUGGACUGUAACUGACGUUGAGGCUCGAAAGUGUGGGUAGCAAACAGGAUUAGAUACCCUGGUAGUCCACACCGUAAACGAUGAACACUAGGGGUUUGGGAGGUUUCCCCCUCCUAGUGCCGGAAGCUAACCCAUUUAAGUUUUCCCCCUGGGGGGUACGCCCGCAAGGUUAAAACUCAAAGGAAUUGACGGGGACCCGCACAAGCGGUGGAGCAUGUGGUUUAAUUGGAAGCAACGCGAAGAACCUUACCAGGUCUUGACAUCCUUUGAAGCUUUUUAGAGAUAGAAGUGUUCUCUUCGGAGACAAAGUGACAGGUGGUGCAUGGUCGUCGUCAGCUCGUGUCGUGAGAUGUUGGGUUAAGUCCCGCAACGAGCGCAACCCUUAUUGUUAGUUGCCAGCAUUCAGAUGGGCACUCUAGCGAGACUGCCGGUGACAAACCGGAGGAAGGCGGGGACGACGUCAGAUCAUCAUGCCCCUUAUGACCUGGGCUACACACGUGCUACAAUGGCGUAUACAACGAGUUGCCAACCUGUGAAGGUGAGCUAAUCUCUUAAAGUACGUCUCAGUUCGGACUGCAGUCUGCAACUCGACUGCACGAAGUCGGAAUCGCUAGUAAUCGCGGAUCAGCACGCCGCGGUGAAUACGUUCCCGGGUCUUGCACUCACCGCCCGUCA